UUAAGCGUGUAGGCUGGUUUUCCAGGCAAAUCCGGAAAAUCAAGGCUGAGGCGUGAUGACGAGGCACUACGGUGCUGAAGCAACAAAUGCCCUGCUUCCAGGAAAAGCCUCUAAGCAUCAGGUAACAUCAAAUCGUACCCCAAACCGACACAGGUGGUCAGGUAGAGAAUACCAAGGCGCUUGAGAGAACUCGGGUGAAGGAACUAGGCAAAAUGGUGCCGUAACUUCGGGAGAAGGCACGCUGAUAUGUAGGUGAAGCGACUUGCUCGUGGAGCUGAAAUCAGUCGAAGAUACCAGCUGGCUGCAACUGUUUAUUAAAAACACAGCACUGUGCAAACACGAAAGUGGACGUAUACGGUGUGACGCCUGCCCGGUGCCGGAAGGUUAAUUGAUGGGGUUAGCGCAAGCGAAGCUCUUGAUCGAAGCCCCGGUAAACGGCGGCCGUAACUAUAACGGUCCUAAGGUAGCGAAAUUCCUUGUCGGGUAAGUUCCGACCUGCACGAAUGGCGUAAUGAUGGCCAGGCUGUCUCCACCCGAGACUCAGUGAAAUUGAACUCGCUGUGAAGAUGCAGUGUACCCGCGGCAAGACGGAAAGACCCCGUGAACCUUUACUAUAGCUUGACACUGAACAUUGAGCCUUGAUGUGUAGGAUAGGUGGGAGGCUUUGAAGUGUGGACGCCAGUCUGCAUGGAGCCGACCUUGAAAUACCACCCUUUAAUGUUUGAUGUUCUAACGUUGACCCGUAAUCCGGGUUGCGGACAGUGUCUGGUGGGUAGUUUGACUGGGGCGGUCUCCUCCUAAAGAGUAACGGAGGAGCACGAAGGUUGGCUAAUCCUGGUCGGACAUCAGGAGGUUAGUGCAAUGGCAUAAGCCAGCUUGACUGCGAGCGUGACGGCGCGAGCAGGUGCGAAAGCAGGUCAUAGUGAUCCGGUGGUUCUGAAUGGAAGGGCCAUCGCUCAACGGAUAAAAGGUACUCCGGGGAUAACAGGCUGAUACCGCCCAAGAGUUCAUAUCGACGGCGGUGUUUGGCACCUCGAUGUCGGCUCAUCACAUCCUGGGGCUGAAGUAGGUCCCAAGGGUAUGGCUGUUCGCCAUUUAAAGUGGUACGCGAGCUGGGUUUAGAACGUCGUGAGACAGUUCGGUCCCUAUCUGCCGUGGGCGCUGGAGAACUGAGGGGGGCUGCUCCUAGUACGAGAGGACCGGAGUGGACGCAUCACUGGUGUUCGGGUUGUCAUGCCAAUGGCACUGCCCGGUAGCUAAAUGCGGAAGAGAUAAGUGCUGAAAGCAUCUAAGCACGAAACUUGCCCCGAGAUGAGUUCUCCCUGACUCCUUGAGAGUCCUGAAGGAACGUUGAAGACGACGACGUUGAUAGGCCGGGUGUGUAAGCGCAGCGAUGCGUUGAGCUAA
Molecule: ribosomal RNA, 1407 nt
Filed under: Escherichia coli
Lineage: Bacteria; Pseudomonadati; Pseudomonadota; Gammaproteobacteria; Enterobacterales; Enterobacteriaceae
Description: partial 23S ribosomal RNA
Rfam family: Bacterial large subunit ribosomal RNA
Source: RNAcentral